RNAcentral lists this ribosomal RNA (689 nucleotides) under Bacillus pumilus. Its description in RNAcentral is "bacterial SSU rRNA". It matches the Rfam family "Bacterial small subunit ribosomal RNA", at positions 386 to 1066 of the family's 1533-position model. The record is from RNAcentral. Lineage: Bacteria; Bacillati; Bacillota; Bacilli; Caryophanales; Bacillaceae.
ACGGAGCAACGCCGCKUGAGUGAUGAAGGUUUUCGGAUCGUAAAGCUCUGUUGUUAGGGAAGAACAAGUGCAAGAGUAACUGCUUGCACCUUGACGGUACCUAACCAGAAAGCCACGGCUAACUACGUGCCAGCAGCCGCGGUAAUACGUAGGUGGCAAGCGUUGUCCGGAAUUAUUGGGCGUAAAGGGCUCGCMGGCGGUUUCUUAAGUCUGAUGUGAAAGCCCCCGGCUCAACCGGGGAGGGUCAUUGGAAACUGGGAAACUUGAGUGCAGAAGAGGAGAGUGGAAUUCCACGUGUAGCGGUGAAAUGCGUAGAGAUGUGGAGGAACACCAGUGGCGAAGGCGACUCUCUGGUCUGUAACUGACGCUGAGGAGCGAAAGCGUGGGGAGCGAACAGGAUUAGAUACCCUGGUAGUCCACGCCGUAAACGAUGAGUGCUAAGUGUUAGGGGGUUUCCGCCCCUUAGUGCUGCAGCUAACGCAUUAAGCACUCCGCCUGGGGAGUACGGUCGCAAGACUGAAACUCAAAGGAAUUGACGGGGGCCCGCACAAGCGGUGGAKCAUGUGGUUUAAUUCGAARCAACGCGAAGAACCUUACCAGGUCUUGACAUCCUCUGACAACCCUASAGAUAGGGCUUUCCCUUCGGGGACRRAGUGACAGGUGGUGCAKGGUUGUCRUCAKCUCSUGUC